This 343-nucleotide unclassified non-coding RNA is filed under the name soil metagenome. RNAcentral's name for it is "partial contains 5.8S ribosomal RNA, internal transcribed spacer 2, and large subunit ribosomal RNA". The stretch from base 1 to 120 matches the Rfam family "5.8S ribosomal RNA", at positions 35 to 154 of the family's 154-position model. The record is from RNAcentral.
GAUGAAGAACGCAGCGAAAUGCGAUAAGUAAUGUGAAUUGCAGAAUUCAGUGAAUCAUCGAAUCUUUGAACGCACAUUGCGCCCGCUAGUAUUCUGGCGGGCAUGCCUGUCCGAGCGUCAUUUCAACCCUCAAGCCCCCGGGCUUGGUGUUGGGGAUCGGCGAGCCUCCGCGCCCGCCGUCCCCUAAAUCUAGUGGCGGUCUCGCUUUAGCUUCCUCUGCGUAGUAGCACACCUCGCACUGGGAAACAGCGCGGCCACGCCGUUAAACCCCCAACUUCUGAACGUUUGACCUCGGAUCAGGUAGGAAUACCCGCUGAACUUAAGCAUAUCAAUAAGCGGAGGA